GACGAACGCUGGCGGCGUGCCUAAUACAUGUAAGUAUAACGCUUAAGGAGGAGCUUGCUUCUCCGGAUGAGUUGCGAACGGGUGAGUAACGCGUAGGUAACCUGCCUGGUAGCGGGGUAUAACUAUUGGAAACGAUAGCUAAUACCGCAUAAGAGUAGAUGUUGCAUGACAUUUGCUUAAAAGGUGCAAUUGCAUCACUACCAGAUGGACCUGCGUUGUAUUAGCUAGUUGGUGAGGUAACGGCUCACCAAGGCGACGAUACAUAGCCGACCUGAGAGGGAGAUAGGCCACACUGAGACUGAGACACGGCACAGACUGCUACGGGAGGCAGCAGUAGGGAAUCUUCGGAAAUGGACGGAAGGCUGACCGAGCAACGCCGCGUGAGUGAAGAAGGUUGUCGGAUCGUAAAACUCUGUUGUAAGAGAAGAACGAGUGUGAGAGAGGAAAGUUCACAAUGUGAGGGUAUCUUACCAGAAGGAGACGGAUAACUACGUG
RNAcentral lists this ribosomal RNA (495 nucleotides) under uncultured bacterium. Its description in RNAcentral is "partial 16S ribosomal RNA". It matches the Rfam family "Bacterial small subunit ribosomal RNA", at positions 28 to 507 of the family's 1533-position model. The record is from RNAcentral.